UACGCGAGGAAGUCAAAUAGGGGCACCGGACGUGUUCGGUGUGCACUGGACUGGUGCACCACUCUAUUCUACCAUAGAGGUUGCAAAUCGGUUGAAAACCGUGCUAACCUCGGUGAGCAGCGAACAGGCUCACGGGACAUGGAACAGUGCCAAUUGGAAUUUGACUAGGCUUGUCCGGUUUGAAAAAAAAGGGAUAUUCACUGGACAGAAGUUGGAACGUGAUUCUGGGCUAGUCCUUCUGGAGACGGCUGCGUGCGUGCGAGCAGCACCGGGCAUUUGGGGCUCCCCCACUGCUUGAUCUGCUGCAGUUGAUGGACAGAAGACGCCUAGCACCUGCUCGACGAAGUGCCUCCAAGCAGCUUGUGCCCAUCUUUUUUUUCUCUGUUUCUAUCUGUACAACAGUGACAAUCAUCAGUUCAUGUCUUUCCUCAUUUUCAAAUAGCAGCAGCUGGACAGGGUAAGCAGGUAGCUGCUGCUUUCUAAUAGAGUUUGUGUAGCAAACUUUGAUGAUGGAGUGGUGCUUUGGUGGCUGCUGGGUACUAUCAAGUGGUGUUCUAUAUGUUUUAAUUAUGUUGUAUGAGAAGUGAAGGUUGUAUUGUGUUCCAGAAUAUAUAUGUGUUGAUCUGGACUUAUUUUGUUGCCGAUGAUGUGAACAUGUGUUAAUUAAUGAUUGGUAAUUAAUUUGCUGAA
This is a long non-coding RNA of Sorghum bicolor (sorghum), 690 nucleotides long. RefSeq lists it as uncharacterized. The transcript has 3 exons. NCBI's taxonomy places the organism in Eukaryota, Viridiplantae, Streptophyta, Magnoliopsida, Poales, Poaceae. The record is from RefSeq and is a predicted model, not a curated record.